ACGAGAGAGGACGGUACCACAGGAAUAAGUCACGGCUAACUACGUGCCAGCAGCCGCGGUAAUACGUAGGUGGCGAGCGUUAUCCGGAAUUACUGGGCGUAAAGCGUACGCAGGCGGCUUGUUUAGUCUGACGUGAAAUCUCCCGGCUUAACUGGGAGAGGUCGUUGGAAACUGACAAGCUUGAGGCAAUGAGAGGGGCAUGGAAUUCCCGGUGUAGUGGUGGAAUGCGUAGAUAUCGGGAGGAACACCAGAGGCGAAAGCGAUGCCCUGGCAUUGACCUGACGCUCAUGUACGAAAGCGUGGGGAGCAAACGGGAUUAGAUACCCCGGUAGUCCACGCCGUAAACGAUGAGUACUGGGUGUAGGCGGGGUUAGAGCCGUCUGUGCCGAAGCAAACGCGUUAAGUACUCCGCCUGGGGAGUACGGCCGCAAGGCUAAAACUCAAAGGAAUUGACGGG
RNAcentral lists this ribosomal RNA (457 nucleotides) under uncultured bacterium. Its description in RNAcentral is "bacterial SSU rRNA". It matches the Rfam family "Bacterial small subunit ribosomal RNA", at positions 462 to 917 of the family's 1533-position model. The record is from RNAcentral.